This 368-nucleotide ribosomal RNA is filed under the name uncultured bacterium. Its description in RNAcentral is "bacterial SSU rRNA". It matches the Rfam family "Bacterial small subunit ribosomal RNA", at positions 443 to 793 of the family's 1533-position model. The record is from RNAcentral.
GGAAGGUAGUGUAGUUAACACCUGACAUUAUUUGUACGUUACCUACACGAAGAAGACACCGGCGUAACUCCGUGCCAGCAGACCGCGGUAAGUACGGAGGGGUGCGAGCGUUAAUCGGAAUUACUGGGCGUAAAGCGCAUGCAGGCGGCCUGUUAAGUCAGAUGUGAAAGACCCGGGGCGUUAACCUCGGAAUUGCAUUUGAAACUGGCAGGCUAGAGUCUUGUAGAGGGGGGUAGGAAUUUCAGGUGUAGCGGUGAAAUGCGUAGAGAUCUGAAGGAAUACCAGUGGCGAAGGCGGCCCCCCUGGACAAAGACUGACGCUCAGAUGCGAAAGCGUGGGGAGCAAACAGGAUUAGAUACCCCUGGUAG